UGGGAUAAGCCUGGGAAACUGGGUCUAAUACCGGAUAUGACCGACUAUCGCAUGGUGGUUGGUGGAAAGCUUUUGUGGUUUUGGAUGGACUCGCGGCCUAUCAGCUUGUUGGUGGGGUAAUGGCCUACCAAGGCGACGACGGGUAGCCGGCCUGAGAGGGUGACCGGCCACACUGGGACUGAGACACGGCCCAGACUCCUACGGGAGGCAGCAGUGGGGAAUAUUGCACAAUGGGCGCAAGCCUGAUGCAGCGACGCCGCGUGAGGGAUGACGGCCUUCGGGUUGUAAACCUCUUUCAGUAGGGAAGAAGCGAGAGUGACGGUACCUGCAGAAGAAGCGCCGGCUAACUACGUGCCAGCAGCCGCGGUAAUACGUAGGGCGCAAGCGUUAUCCGGAAUUAUUGGGCGUAAAGAGCUCGUAGGCGGUUUGUCGCGUCUGCCGUGAAAGUCCGGGGCUCAACUCCGGAUCUGCGGUGGGUACGGGCAGACUAGAGUGAUGUAGGGGAGACUGGAAUUCCUGGUGUAGCGGUGAAAUGCGCAGAUAUCAGGAGGAACACCGAUGGCGAAGGCAGGUCUCUGGGCAUUAACUGACGCUGAGGAGCGAAAGCAUGGGGAGCGAACAGGAUUAGAUACCCUGGUAGUCCAUGCCGUAAACGUUGGGCACUAGGUGUGGGGGACAUUCCACGUUUUCCGCGCCGUAGCUAACGCAUUAAGUGCCCCGC
RNAcentral lists this ribosomal RNA (721 nucleotides) under Arthrobacter sp. ThV-H. RNAcentral describes it as "bacterial SSU rRNA". It matches the Rfam family "Bacterial small subunit ribosomal RNA", at positions 139 to 872 of the family's 1533-position model. The record is from RNAcentral. Lineage: Bacteria; Bacillati; Actinomycetota; Actinomycetes; Micrococcales; Micrococcaceae.